GCUCAACCGAGGAAGUGCUUCGAAAACUGGUAAACUUGAGUGCAGAAGAGGAGAGUGGAACUCCAUGUGUAGCGGUGGAAUGCGUAGAUAUAUGGAAGAACACCAGUGGCGAAGGCGGCUUUCUGGUCUGUAACUGACGCUGAGAUUCGAAAGCAUGGGUAGCAAACAGGAUUAGAUACCCUGGUAGUCCAUGCCGUAAACGAUGAGUGCUAAGUGUUGGAGGGUUUCCGCCCUUCAGUGCUGCAGCUAACGCAUUAAGCACUCCGCCUGGGGAGUACGAUCGCAAGAUUGAAACUCAAAGGAAUUGACGGGGGCCCGCACAAGCGGUGGAGCAUGUGGUUUAAUUCGAAGCAACGCGAAGAACCUUACCAGGUCUUGACAUACCAUGAAAAGCUAAGAGAUUAGUCUUUCCCUUCGGGGACAUGGAUACAGGUGGUGCAUGGUUGUCGUCAGCUCGUGUCGUGAGAUGUUGGGUUAAGUCCCGCAACGAGCGCAACCCUUAUUAUCAGUUGCCAGCAUUCAGUUGGGCACUCUGGUGAGACUGCCGGUGACAAACCGGAGGAAGGUGGGGACGACGUCAAAUCAUCAUGCCCCUUAUGACCUGGGCUACACACGUGCUACAAUGGUCGGUACAACG
RNAcentral lists this ribosomal RNA (637 nucleotides) under uncultured bacterium. RNAcentral describes it as "bacterial SSU rRNA". It matches the Rfam family "Bacterial small subunit ribosomal RNA", at positions 607 to 1244 of the family's 1533-position model. The record is from RNAcentral.